RNAcentral lists this long non-coding RNA (1049 nucleotides) under Phasianus colchicus (ring-necked pheasant). RNAcentral's name for it is "lncRNA (ENSPCLG00000020309.1)". Lineage: Eukaryota; Metazoa; Chordata; Aves; Galliformes; Phasianidae. The record is from RNAcentral.
CAUUGUUAUAGGGUGAUGGGAAUAGAAAUUAAUGAACACUAAUCAAAUGAAAAAGAGUGUAAUAUUUUGUUUCAGGCUGAACAUGAAGUAAAAGAAAUUUAAAUGAGAUUGGAAGAGGAAGGAGGGAAAAGAAAAACAUCAAUUUUGGACAUAUUUUAGCAUCUAGUUUUUUUUUUUAGUUGAGAAACACCGGAAUGAAACAGCAGGCUUUCUUGAGAAAGGACAAAAUCAUGUAAACAAAGCAUCAAAAACCUCACCAGGAAGCAUUAAACUUCUAAAAACUAGAAAGAAAUUAACUGUAAUUGCCAGCCUACUGGGGAAGUUAUUAUCAGAGCCUCUUAAAUACUGCCUGUACUUUUGCAAGAAAACAUACUUCUUUCCCUUUGGAGAUGAAGUCUGAAGUACUGGCCACCUAUGCUUAUCUAUUGCUGGAGAAAUCCUGUAGUCAAGUAUUAUACAGAGAAAGAAAUUAUAGUAUUGACUGCGUUUAACCCAAUAUAAGAUGAGUGUGUGAUCACCAACAACUCAUGGCAGGAGAAGCAUGGAUCAUGGACAUAGUACUGUGCUAAGCCAGGGGCUCGCUGCCUUGUGACAUGACUUCUUGUGUAAAGGCUGCUGGAUGCAGGCAUGCUUCUGCUGUGGCUUAGGACUGUCUCCACAUCACUGUGAUAGUGAAAUCCAGCAUGCUGGGCAUUCGCACACAUUUUGAGAACUAUUGCUUCAGCUGUGCCAUGUAAACUUGAUGCUUUCAUUUCUAUGCACUGGCUACAGACUCGUUUUUUAAGCUAAUCCAUCUUUCCUUGGGCAUAUUGUAAUGCUUUGUGCAGUGCUGCUAUAAUUAUCCCAAGUGCAGACCAAGAUUUUGGUGUUUCAGUUGCUUAUGUGUACGAUUUUUGACAAACAACUUGAGGCACAUCCUUAAUCUGCUCCCUCCAGAAGGGUUUUGUUUUAUGUUGUCUUUGCAAGAAAGAGCCAAGUACUGAAACACAGCAAGUGAUAAGCUGCACUGGGUCUGUGUCUAAAUAAAAUGAGCUACAUUGGCUCGGACA